GUGUGGUAGGGGCAGAGGGAAUUCCCGGUGUAGCGGUGAAAUGCGUAGAUAUCGGGAAGAACACCAGUGGCGAAGGCGCUCUGCUGGGCCAUAACUGACGCUCAUGGACGAAAGCCAGGGAGCGAAAGGGAUUAGAUACCCCUGUAGUCCUGGCCGUAAACGAUGAACACAAGGUGUCGGGGGAAUCGACCCUCUCGGUGUCGUAGCCAACGCGUUAAGUGUUCCGCCUGGGGAGUACGCACGCAAGUGUGAAACUCAAAGGAAUUGAGGGGGGCCCGCACAAGCGGUGGAGUAUGUGGUUUAAUUCGAUGCAACGCGAAGAACCUUACCAGGGUUUGACAUCCUGCGAAUCCCUUGGAAACGAGGGAGUGCCUUCGGGAGCGCAGAGACAGGUGGUGCAUGGCUGUCGUCAGCUCGUGUCGUGAGAUGUUGGGUUAAGUCCCGCAACGAGCGCAACCCACGUCGUUAGUUGCCAGCAUUGAGUUGGGCACUCUAGCGAGACCGCCGGUGAUAAACCGGAGGAAGGUGUGGAUGACGUCAAGUCAUCAUGCCCCUUACAUCCUGGGAUACACACGUACUACAAUGCUACGGACAAAGGGCAGCAAACUCGCGAGAGUUAACAAAUCCCAUAAACCGUGGCUCAGUUCAGAUCGUAGGCUGCAACUCGCCUACGUGAAGGAGGAAUCGCUAGUAAUCGCAGGUCAGCAUACUGCGGUGAAUACGUUCCCGGGCCUUGUACACACCGCCCGUCACACCAUGGAAGUUGGUCACGCCCGAAGCCGUUACUCCAACCCUUGUGGAGGAGGACGUCGAAGGUGGGGCUGAUGACUGGGGUGAAGAAGUAACAAGGUAGCCGUACCGGAAGGUGCGGCUGGAUCACCUCCUAA
This 887-nucleotide ribosomal RNA is filed under the name uncultured Synechococcus sp. RNAcentral describes it as "bacterial SSU rRNA". It matches the Rfam family "Bacterial small subunit ribosomal RNA", at positions 646 to 1533 of the family's 1533-position model. The record is from RNAcentral. Lineage: Bacteria; Bacillati; Cyanobacteriota; Cyanophyceae; Synechococcales; Synechococcaceae.